This 253-nucleotide ribosomal RNA is filed under the name uncultured bacterium. RNAcentral's name for it is "partial 16S ribosomal RNA". It matches the Rfam family "Bacterial small subunit ribosomal RNA", at positions 524 to 776 of the family's 1533-position model. The record is from RNAcentral.
UACAGAGGGUGCAAGCGUUAAUCGGAAUUACUGGGCGUAAAGCGUGCGUAGCCGGUUAUGUAAGUCGGGUGUGAAAGCCCCGGGCUCAACCUGGGAAUGCCAUUCGAGACUGCAUAGCUAGGGUGCGGAAGAGGGAAGCGGAAUUUCCGGUGUAGCGGUGAAAUGCGUAGAUAUGCGGAGGAACACCGAUGGCGAAGGCAAUCCCCUGGGCCUGCACUGACGCUCAUGCACGAAAGCGUGGGGAGCAAACAGG